UUACGGCCAUACCACGCUAGGUCACCUGUUCCCAUACGAUCACCGAAGUUAAGCCACGUCGAGCCUGGUCAGUACCGAGAUGAGUGAGAUCUUGGGAGUUCAAGGCACUGUAAG
This is a non-coding RNA of Acanthosepion pharaonis, 114 nucleotides long. NCBI's taxonomy places the organism in Eukaryota, Metazoa, Mollusca, Cephalopoda, Sepiida, Sepiidae. The record is from the annotation of a GenBank genome assembly.